This 433-nucleotide ribosomal RNA is filed under the name uncultured bacterium. RNAcentral describes it as "partial 16S ribosomal RNA". It matches the Rfam family "Bacterial small subunit ribosomal RNA", at positions 29 to 507 of the family's 1533-position model. The record is from RNAcentral.
AACGAACGCUGGCGGCAUGCCUAACACAUGCAAGUCGAACGAGACCUUCGGGUAUAGUGGCGCACGGGUGCGUAACGCGUGGGAACCUGCCCUUAGGUUCGGAAUAACUCCCCGAAAGGGGUGCUAAUACCGGAUAAUGUCUUCGGACCAAAGAUUUAUCGCCAUUGGAUGGGCCCGCGUUGGAUUAGCUAGUUGGUAGGGUAAAAGCCUACCAAGGCGACGAUCCAUAGCUGGUCUGAGAGGAUGAUCAGCCACACUGGGACUGAGACACGGCCCAGACUCCUACGGGAGGCAGCAGUGGGGAAUAUUGGACAAUGAGCGAAAGCCUGAUCCAGCAAUGCCGCGUGAGUGAUGAAGGCCUUAGGGUUGUAAAGCUCUUUUACCCGGGAUGAUAAUGACAGUACCGGGAGAAUAAGCUCCGGCUAACUCCGUG